Molecule: ribosomal RNA, 442 nt
Filed under: Meristogenys dyscritus
Lineage: Eukaryota; Metazoa; Chordata; Amphibia; Anura; Ranidae
Description: partial 12S rRNA
Rfam family: Bacterial small subunit ribosomal RNA
Source: RNAcentral
GCCUAGACGUAAACAAUUUAUUUACAUUCUCUAACGCCCGGGUAUUACGAGCAAUGCUUAAAACCCAAAGGACUUGACGGUGUCCCACCCACCUAGAGGAGCCUGUUCUAUAAUCGAUAACCCCCGCUUUACCUAACCAUUCUUUGCCUAAUCAGUCUGUAUACCUCCGUCGGAAGCUUACCAUAUGAACGCCCAUAGUAAGCCCAAUGGUCACCCACCAACACGUCAGGUCAAGGUGCAACUUAUAGAAUGGAAAGAAAUGGGCUACAAUUUCUAGAAUAGAACAAACGAAAGGCUGCCUGAAACCCAGUCAUGAAGGAGGAUCUAGUAGUAAAAAGAGAAUAGAGAGCUCUUUUUAACCUGGCACUGGGACGCGUACACACCGCCCGUCACCCUCUUCAAUAGUUCUUUAUCUCGAUUACUAACAAAUUAACUACGCCUU